UACGGGAGGCAGCAGUGGGGAAUAUUGCACAAUGGGCGCAAGCCUGAUGCAGCCAUGCCGCGUGUAUGAAAAAGGCCUUCGGGUUGUAAAGUACUUUCAGUCGUGAGGAAGGUGUUAAGGUUAAUAACCUUAGCAAUUGACGUUAGCGACAGAAGAAGCACCGGCUAACUCCGUGCCAGCAGCCGCGGUAAUACGGAGGGUGCGAGCGUUAAUCGGAAUUACUGGGCGUAAAGGGCACGCAGGCGGUUAAUUAAGUUGGAUGUGAAAUCCCCGGGCUUAACCUGGGAAUGGCAUUCAAGACUGGUUAGCUAGAGUCUUGUAGAGGGGGUAGAAUUCCAUGUGUAGCGGUGAAAUGCGUAGAGAUGUGGAGGAAUACCGGUGGCGAAGGCGGCCCCUGGCAAAGGACUGACGCUCAUGUGCGAAAGCGUGGGGAGCAAAC
RNAcentral lists this ribosomal RNA (439 nucleotides) under uncultured bacterium. Its description in RNAcentral is "bacterial SSU rRNA". It matches the Rfam family "Bacterial small subunit ribosomal RNA", at positions 340 to 773 of the family's 1533-position model. The record is from RNAcentral.